AGAGGCGAUGAAGGACGUGCUAAUCUGCGAAAAGCGUCGGUAAGGUGAUAUGAACCGUUAUAACCGGCGAUGUCCGAAUGGGGAAACCCAGUGUGUUUCGACACACUAUCAUUAACUGAAUCCAUAGGUUAAUGAGGCGAACCGGGGGAACUGAAACAUCUAAGUACCCCGAGGAAAAGAAAUCAACCGAGAUUCCCCCAGUAGCGGCGAGCGAACGGGGAGGAGCCCAGAGCCUGAAUCAGUGUGUGUGUUA
RNAcentral lists this ribosomal RNA (253 nucleotides) under Escherichia albertii. RNAcentral describes it as "partial 23S ribosomal RNA". It matches the Rfam family "Bacterial large subunit ribosomal RNA", at positions 43 to 291 of the family's 2925-position model. The record is from RNAcentral. Lineage: Bacteria; Pseudomonadati; Pseudomonadota; Gammaproteobacteria; Enterobacterales; Enterobacteriaceae.